RNAcentral lists this ribosomal RNA (492 nucleotides) under uncultured bacterium. Its description in RNAcentral is "partial 16S ribosomal RNA". It matches the Rfam family "Bacterial small subunit ribosomal RNA", at positions 29 to 507 of the family's 1533-position model. The record is from RNAcentral.
AGUGAACGCUGGCGGUAGGCCUAACACAUGCAAGUCGAACGGCAGCACAGUAAGAGCUUGCUCUUACGGGUGGCGAGUGGCGGACGGGUGAGGAAUACAUCGGAAUCUACUUUUUCGUGGGGGAUAACGUAGGGAAACUUACGCUAAUACCGCAUACGACCUACGGGUGAAAGCAGGGGAUCUUCGGACCUUGCGCGAUUGAAUGGGCCGAUGUCGGAUUAGCUAGUUGGCGGGGUAAAGGCCCACCAAGGCGACGAUCCGUAGCUGGUCUGAGAGGAUGAUCAGCCACACUGGAACUGAGACACGGUCCAGACUCCUACGGGAGGCAGCAGUGGGGAAUAUUGGACAAUGGGCGCAAGCCUGAUCCAGCCAUACCGCGUGGGUGAAGAAGGCCUUCGGGUUGUAAAGCCCUUUUGUUGGGAAAGAAAAGCAGCAGGUUAAUACCCCGCUGUUCUGACGGUACCCAAAGAAUAGGCACCGGCUAACUUCGUG